UUGGAAGCACUUCAACAUUCAACACCUUACAAGAACAACUCUCUCAAGCUCAGCGCCUAAUUGAAGAACAAGCAGCUGAGAACGCAAGACGUGAAGCAGAGCUCACCAAGGUUUCAGCUGCCCAACAAGCCAAGAUCGACCAACUCACAUUGCUGGAGAGGUAUUUGAGAGAAACUGAUCCAAGAUUCUUGGAAUUCAUGGCUGCUAAUUCUGCUCCCACGUCUUCUGCUACAACCGCUGCUCCAGUCACUGAUCCCACGGCUGCUGCAACCGGUGGUGCUCUAAACACUACUCCAACAGGUGCUGCAACCGCUGCUGGUCCAACCAAUCAACCAAACGAUCCUCAUCAAGGUUCUCUUUCAACCUCAUUUUGAAUAUCUCCUUAGUUUUGUUUUAGUGCAACCAGAAACUUUCAUCUAACGGUAGUCUACUUAUCUACAAUGGUAACCUCAUUUUGAAUAUGUCCUAUAUGGUAACCAUUGUAGUUCAUUUUUUUGUUAACAACAAUGUAAUCACCUUAAUGAUGUAAUACAUUAGUUGUUUACUUAUGCU
Molecule: long non-coding RNA, 552 nt
Filed under: Eutrema salsugineum
Lineage: Eukaryota; Viridiplantae; Streptophyta; Magnoliopsida; Brassicales; Brassicaceae
Description: long non-coding RNA (ESAL_LNC001770)
Source: RNAcentral